This 831-nucleotide long non-coding RNA is filed under the name Sorghum bicolor (sorghum). RNAcentral describes it as "long non-coding RNA (SBIC_LNC011708)". Lineage: Eukaryota; Viridiplantae; Streptophyta; Magnoliopsida; Poales; Poaceae. The record is from RNAcentral.
CUGGACUCUUGAUGAUGACUUGAUGAGUCAACUGAGGAGCAAAUUAAAUACUACUCUAGUAUAAGCGGUCAAAUAAUUAAGUUGAUUCUUCCAUUAUGGAAAAACUUGGAUGUAAAAAACAGGAUAUUUAGCAUAAUGAAUUAUGCUCGCGCCUUAAAAUCUGUUUUUAAUUUUAUCAGGCGUUCUCAAUUAAAUCUAAACAAGCAUAGAUUUGAAAAUGAGCAUUACUUCAAUUGUUUCAACUUGGGCGCAUGCUGUAAAAUUUUUCCAGUAAAAGAAAAGGCACUGUGAAUUUCACAUUCUCCAUGAAUAAAUUAUACUUAAAUAUACCAGAGCACUCAAACGUUUGUCUCACAUGUACUAGUUCUUGUUUAGUUCACCCAAAAAAAUCAAAAACUUUUCAGAUUUCUCGUCACAUUAAACUUUGCAGCACAUGCAUGGAGGACUAAAUAUAUACGAAAACAAAAACUAAAUGCACAAUUUAGAUGUAAAUCGCGAGAUGAAUUUUUUGAGUCUAGUUAAUCCAUGAUUGGACAAUAAUUACCAAAUAAAAUCCUCACAAAAAAUUGUCAAAUAAAAACAAAAUUGCUAUAUAUAUAGUAGCCAAAAUCAAAAAAAAAUUCUAAACUAAACAAGGCCCUAGUAUUGAAUCUACAGUCUGUGGUACGGAUCAAGGUACACUCAAUUUAAAUGAAACCCAGGACGCAAGCAUCAAAUAUUAACUCCACACAGGGGGGUGAAAUGAAGCCGCAAAAGUUUGGACUUUAGCCCUUCAAGUCCCUUUUGCUUCAUAAAUAUUGUCAACCACCAAACUGAUGGUCAUACGACAUC